Molecule: ribosomal RNA, 165 nt
Filed under: Veronica cupressoides
Lineage: Eukaryota; Viridiplantae; Streptophyta; Magnoliopsida; Lamiales; Plantaginaceae
Also listed under: 1 other name
Description: 5.8S ribosomal RNA
Rfam family: 5.8S ribosomal RNA
About the family: 5.8S ribosomal RNA (5.8S rRNA) is a component of the large subunit of the eukaryotic ribosome. It is transcribed by RNA polymerase I as part of the 45S precursor that also contains 18S and 28S rRNA. Functionally, it is thought that 5.8S rRNA may be involved in ribosome translocation.
Source: RNAcentral
UAAACGACUCUCGGCAACGGAUAUCUCGGCUCUCGCAUCGAUGAAGAACGUAGCGAAAUGCGAUACUUGGUGUGAAUUGCAGAAUCCCGUGAACCAUCGAGUCUUUGAACGCAAGUUGCGCCCGAAGCCUUUUGGCCGAGGGCACGCCUGCCUGGGCGUCACGCA